Condylura cristata (star-nosed mole) is the source of this 500-nucleotide non-coding RNA. The record is from the annotation of a RefSeq genome assembly. Lineage: Eukaryota; Metazoa; Chordata; Mammalia; Eulipotyphla; Talpidae.
CCAUGGCCCGGACGCCUCUCCUCCUGGCGCUGCUGUCCCUCUGCACAGGAUCCCGGGCCCAGUCGGAGCUGACGCAGCCGUCCUCGGCGUCCGGGGCCCUGGGCCAGAGCGUGGUCAUCUCCUGCACCGGGAGCGGCUCCGACCUUGGAGCUGGCUACACCCUGCAAUGGUACCAACAGCUCCCGGGAACGGUCCCCAAACUCCUGAUACAUGACAGUAGCAAGCGGCGCCCAGGCGUCCCUGAUCGGUUCUCGGGCGCUGUGUCUGGCACCUCGGGCUCGCUGACCAUCGCGGGGCUCCAGCCCGAGGACGAGGCUGAGUACAUCUGCCAGUCACAACGCAGCAAGUGGGGCGGGACACGGUGCUCUGGGCCUGUGGGGAAGCGAGGCAAGAACCCCCAGAUGGGCCUCCUGCACCCCUCACAGCGCAGCUGCUUGGUCAGGAGUCGCGGGCCCUUCGCUGGUCAGCAGGUGCUGACGCCAGGGCUCUCCCGAGGGUGA